UAAAGCUAAGUGUCUCUCUACAUUGUUAGUGCAGUUGCAGUAAACCUCAAGCUAAUACUAGAUGAAAAGGACUCGGGCUGAUGCAUGUUUGUGUGUGUGUGUGUUUACAGAGUAUUCCAGAGUUUGGUGAGGACUAUGAGGUCUGCAUUGAUGACACCUACACUGAGUGAAGAACAACUUCUGUCACCAGUGGCUUUGAUGAAGAUCAUAAUUCAGAUGGCAUCAACUCUAUGAGGAGCACACAUGGGCUAGGACCAGCCCUGGAUGAGGACUACCCUGGAGGACUAGCGUGGAUGAUGUCUAAAGAACCUUAGGGAAAAGAAGGCACAUAAAAAAGGGGACAAAAAACUCUAAGCAUCGGCCAUACUUGUAUAAACAUGACCCAGAGUCACUCCCCUCCCCCACCUCGGACAAUCAGACCACCUCUCAUUGUUCCUACUGCCCAAGUACUGUCCAGUCAUCAGAUGUGUGAAACCCACUAUCAGGACUGUUAAAAUUUGGCUGGAUAGAGCUGACGCUUCUCUCUAGCAGCAGUUCUUACACACAGACUGGAGUGAAUUCGCUUCACAGGCCACUACUGAUUCCGUCACCAACAUCAACACCAAAGCUGACCUUGAUCACAUCAAUAGCUGUGUGGAUCGGGUGACUAGACUAAAAAACAUCAAAGUGUUCCCCAAUCAGAAGCCAUGGAUGAACGAGGAGGUCCGUCUCCUGCUCAAAGCACGCAAUACCGCCUUCAGGUCUGGAGACCGGGUUGCCUACAGCGUCGCCAGAGCCGGUCUGAGGAGGAGAAUCUGCAAAGCCAAACAUGCUUACAAACAGCAGAUUGAGGAGCACUUCAAAUCUGCUGACCCCCGACACAUUUGGCAAGGAAUACAGGCUAUCACUGACUGCAACCAGUUCUGCCUCACUCCCCAACAAGCUCAACCUCUUCUACGCUCGUUUUGAAAAGAGGAACAUGGAGCCCUUGCUCAAAACAGAGCCAUUACCAGGUGAGCAGCCACUUACACUCUCCACCUCUGAAGUGUGCGUC
This is a long non-coding RNA of Silurus meridionalis, 1033 nucleotides long. RefSeq lists it as uncharacterized. Lineage: Eukaryota; Metazoa; Chordata; Actinopteri; Siluriformes; Siluridae. The transcript has 3 exons. The record is from RefSeq and is a predicted model, not a curated record.